This 493-nucleotide long non-coding RNA is filed under the name Ananas comosus (pineapple). RNAcentral's name for it is "long non-coding RNA (ACOM_LNC042721)". Lineage: Eukaryota; Viridiplantae; Streptophyta; Magnoliopsida; Poales; Bromeliaceae. The record is from RNAcentral.
UAAUUCUUCAAGAACAAAGGGAGAGAUGUGAACAUUGGAGGAGAAGGUAUAAGAAUUUAAGGCUAAUUAUUUUUGAGUGAUUUGUUUUGCAGGAUUUCAAGACUUCAAGACUCCUAGUUGUUGUCUAAGUCAUAGAGUUUGUUUUAGGAGUUUUGAUGUAAUUUUGAGUUUUCAAAUUGUAUUUGGAUUACACGCGAGGGGUUCGAUGUUUUGGUGAUGACAUUGAACUUCGUUUGUCUUUAAAUUGUAAUUUGUGAGUUUGUGUGUGUUUUGUCACGAAAUUGCCAAAGGGGGAGAUUGUUAAGGAUUUUGUAUUGGCAAGUUUCGUGAAGUGAGUCGGAGUCUUGAAGGANUGAUUAUCUUUUAACCAAAUACAAGUAAACUAACACAUUUACAUUCACUCUUUCCUUUUUCCCAUUCAUAAUUAUAUGAAUUACAUCCAACCCCAAAAUAUAAGAUUUACAUCUUUUUACAUUUCGAGUUCAACAUACAA